GAUGAACGCUAGCGGCAGGCCUAACACAUGCAAGUCGAGGGAGCAGUUCUUUCGGGGGGACGAACCGGCGCGCGGGUGCGUAAAGCGUGUCCUUCCUAUCUUUAACAGGGGGGUAGCCCGAAGAAAUUUGGAUUAAUACCCCAUAAUAUUAUUGGAUGGCAUCAAUUGAUAAUUCAAACUGCGGUGGUGAAAGAUGGGCAUGAGUCCUCUUAGCUAGUUGGAGUGGUAACGGGACUCCAAGGCUACGAUAGGUAGGGGUCCGUAGAGAGAGAUCCCUCCCACGGGUAGUGCGACAGGGACCAGACUCAUACGGGACGCAGCAGUGAGGAAGAGGGGGCAAUGGUGGGAAGACUGAACCAGCCAUGCCGCGUGCAGGAAAAAUGCCUGAUGGGUAGUAAGCUGCUUUUAUAGGAGAAGAAUUAGGCUUACGAGGAAGAUGAUGACGGUACCAUAUGAAUAAGCAUCGGCUAACUCCGUG
Molecule: ribosomal RNA, 478 nt
Filed under: uncultured bacterium
Lineage: Bacteria
Description: partial 16S ribosomal RNA
Rfam family: Bacterial small subunit ribosomal RNA
Source: RNAcentral